RNAcentral lists this ribosomal RNA (460 nucleotides) under uncultured bacterium. Its description in RNAcentral is "partial 16S ribosomal RNA". It matches the Rfam family "Bacterial small subunit ribosomal RNA", at positions 338 to 795 of the family's 1533-position model. The record is from RNAcentral.
CCUACGGGAGGCAGCAGUGAGGAAUAUUGGUCAAUGGGCGCGAGCCUGAACCAGCCAAGUAGCGUGAAGGAUGACUGCCCUACGGGUUGUAAACCUCUUUUAUAAAGGAAUAAAGUGAGGCUCGUGUCCCUUUUUGUAUGUACUUUAUGAAUACGGAUCGGCUACCUCCGUGCCAGCAGCCGCGGUAAUACGGAGGAUCCGAGUGUUAUCCGGCUUUAUUGGGUUUAAAGGGUGCGUAGGUGGAUUGUCAAGUCAGGUGUGAAAGUGUGCGGCCGAAACGUAAAAGUGCAGUUGAAACUGGCAGUCUUGAGUACACGAGGGGUAGGCGGAAUGCGUGGUGUAGCGGUGAAAUGCUUAGAUAUCACGAAGAACUCCGAUCGCGAAGGCAGUUCACUGGAGUGCAACUGACGCUGAGGCUCGAAAGUGUGGGUAUCGAACAGGAUUAGAUACCCUUGUAGUC